CCAACGGCCCUCUUUAGGGCCACAAAUCAAUAAUCCUAAAAUUUUU
RNAcentral lists this non-coding RNA (46 nucleotides) under Caenorhabditis brenneri. Its description in RNAcentral is "sRNA CBN34202". It matches the Rfam family "Histone 3' UTR stem-loop". Rfam says of the family: The mRNAs of metazoan histone genes lack a poly-A tail. 3' end processing occurs at a site between a highly conserved stem-loop (modelled by this family) and a purine rich region around 20 nts downstream (the histone downstream element, or HDE). The record is from RNAcentral. Lineage: Eukaryota; Metazoa; Nematoda; Chromadorea; Rhabditida; Rhabditidae.